This 513-nucleotide ribosomal RNA is filed under the name uncultured bacterium. Its description in RNAcentral is "partial 16S ribosomal RNA". It matches the Rfam family "Bacterial small subunit ribosomal RNA", at positions 28 to 507 of the family's 1533-position model. The record is from RNAcentral.
GACGAACGCUGGCGGCGUGCUUAACACAUGCAAGUCGAACGAAAAGAGGGAAAGAGCUUGCUCUUUCCGGAAUUGAGUGGCGAACGGGUGAGUAACACGUAAACAACCUGCCUUCAGGAUGGGGACAACAGACGGAAACGACUGCUAAUACCGAAUAAGUUCCAAGGGCCGCAUGGCCCAUGGAAGAAAAGGUGGCCUCUACCUGUAAGCUAUCGCCUGAAGAGGGGUUUGCGUCUGAUUAGCUGGUUGGAGGGGUAACGGCCCACCAAGGCGACGAUCAGUAGCCGGUCUGAGAGGAUGAACGGCCACACUGGAAUUGAGACACGGUCCAGACUCCUACGGGAGGCAGCAGUGGGGAAUCUUCCGCAAUGGGCGAAAGCCUGACGGAGCAACGCCGCGUGAGUGAUGACGGCCUUCGGGUUGUAAAACUCUGUGAUCCGGGACGAAAAGGCAGAGUGCGAAGAACAAACUGCAUUGACGGUACCGGAAAAGCAAGCCACGGCUAACUACGUG